AGCUCCCAUAUCGUAUAUUAAUGUUGCUGCGGUUAAACCAUUCGUGAUUGGAUUUCCGCUGAGGGUGACCGGUCCUCCCUCUCGGUGGGCAUCUGACUCGGCCUUGGCAUCUUCUUGGUGAACGUAGUUGCAUUUGAUUGUGCGAUGCGGCGCCCAGGAUUUUUCCUCUGCGAGAAUCAGAGCAUUGCAAGUAGGCAUGCGCCUUCAAUACAUUAGCAUGGAAGAAUGAGCUAGGACAUCGGUACUAUUCAGUUGGUUCCUAGAGUUGGGGUAAUGAUUCGUAUUUGAUUGUCAGGGGUGAAAUCCUUGGAUGUGUUAAAGAUGGAUCGUUGCGAAAGCAUUUGCCAAGGAUGUUU
RNAcentral lists this ribosomal RNA (356 nucleotides) under uncultured eukaryote. Its description in RNAcentral is "SSU rRNA". It matches the Rfam family "Eukaryotic small subunit ribosomal RNA", at positions 587 to 969 of the family's 1831-position model. The record is from RNAcentral.